UCCCUGGUGGUCUAGUGGUUAGGAUUUGUUGCUUUCACUGUGGAGGCCCAGGUUCAAUCCCUGGUCUGGGAA
RNAcentral lists this transfer RNA (72 nucleotides) under Sus scrofa (pig). It matches the Rfam family "tRNA". From Rfam's summary of the family: Transfer RNA (tRNA) molecules are approximately 80 nucleotides in length. Their secondary structure includes four short double-helical elements and three loops (D, anti-codon, and T loops). Lineage: Eukaryota; Metazoa; Chordata; Mammalia; Artiodactyla; Suidae. The record is from Rfam by way of RNAcentral.